CAGCAGCCGCGGUAAUACGUAGGGUGCAAGCGUUAAUCGGAAUUACUGGGUGUAAAGCGUGCGCAGGCGGUUAUAUAAGACAGAUGUGAAAUCCCCGGGCUCAACCUGGGAACUGCAUUAGUGACUGUAUAGCUAGAGUGCGGCAGAGGGGGAUGGAAUUCCGCGUGUAGCAGUGAAAUGCGUAGAUAUGCGGAGGAACACCGAUGGCGAAGGCAAUCCCCUGGGCCUGCACUGACGCUCAUGCACGAAAGCGUGGGGAGCAAACAGGAUUAGAUACUCUGGUAGUCCACGCCCUAAACGGUGUCAACUGGUUGUUGGGUCUUCACUGACUCAGUAACGAGGCUAACGCGUGAAGUUGACCGCCUGGGGAGUACGGCCGCAAGGUUAAAACUCAAAGGAAUUGACGG
This 407-nucleotide ribosomal RNA is filed under the name uncultured bacterium. RNAcentral describes it as "bacterial SSU rRNA". It matches the Rfam family "Bacterial small subunit ribosomal RNA", at positions 509 to 916 of the family's 1533-position model. The record is from RNAcentral.